This is a long non-coding RNA of Pogoniulus pusillus (Red-fronted tinkerbird), 501 nucleotides long. RefSeq lists it as uncharacterized. The transcript has 2 exons. The record is from RefSeq and is a predicted model, not a curated record. NCBI's taxonomy places the organism in Eukaryota, Metazoa, Chordata, Aves, Piciformes, Lybiidae.
GAUCCUGUGUAGUGAAAGGCCGCGCCUGGGCGGCGCUCGUCUAUUUAUAGUGUGUGAGUAUCGCGAGAGUUGCUCCCGGAGAGCCCUGCGCGCUGAAUGCCGAAUACACAGCGGCGAAGGGGAGCGCUUUCUGCUGGCGUAUCCAGGUUGCGGGGCGGGUGCGCCGCCAGCCCGGCCGCUUGCUAUAUCAGGGGCGCGCAGCGGCGCGGGUUCGUCUGCAGCGGCGCGACACAGGUACUGAGCGCGGCCCGGGAAUGCUGAGUGCUUGGUGUGGAGAGAAUCGGUCUGGUGGGGCUGAUCCGCCCGGGCAGCAGGGCUCGGCCUCGCCUGUCCGAGUGAGAGCUGCCAUGUGCCUGUGCUACACCUGAGUGAUUCUUCCGUGGCGCUGAAAGCGAGCAGACGAAGGAGCUGCUGCAAUGGAUGGUAAUGGAGUAUUCGCAGCUGGGACGCUUUGAAUUUUUUAUGCUUUCCUAUGCAAUAAAGAUUAACGAUUUGAAAGCC